CCUACGGGAGGCAGCAGUGGGGGAUAUUGCACAAUGGGGGAAACCCUGAUGCAGCGACGCCGCGUGAGUGAAGAAGUAUUUCGGUGUGUAAAGCUCUAUCAGCAGGGAAGAAGAUGACGGUACCUGACUAAGAAGCCCCGGCUAACUACGUGCCAGCAGCCGCGGUAAUACGGAGGGGGCAAGCGUUAUCCGGAUUUACUGGGUGUAAAGGGAGCGUAGACGGCAGAUCAAGUCUGGAGUGAAAUGCCGGGGCUCAACCCCCGAACUGCUUUGGAAACUGUGCGGCUGGAGUGCAGGAGAGGUAAGUGGAAUUCCUAGUGUAGCGGUGAAAUGCGUAGAUAUUAGGAGGAACACCAGUGGCGAAGGCGGCUUACUGGACUGUAACUGACGUUGAGGCUCGAAAGCGUGGGGAGCAAACAGGAUUAGAUACCCUUGUAGUC
This 440-nucleotide ribosomal RNA is filed under the name uncultured bacterium. Its description in RNAcentral is "partial 16S ribosomal RNA". It matches the Rfam family "Bacterial small subunit ribosomal RNA", at positions 338 to 795 of the family's 1533-position model. The record is from RNAcentral.